This 496-nucleotide ribosomal RNA is filed under the name uncultured bacterium. RNAcentral describes it as "partial 16S ribosomal RNA". It matches the Rfam family "Bacterial small subunit ribosomal RNA", at positions 28 to 507 of the family's 1533-position model. The record is from RNAcentral.
GAUGAACGCUGGCGGCGUGCCUAAUACAUGCAAGUCGAGCGAACAGACGAGGAGCUUGCUCCUCUGACGUUAGCGGCGGACGGGUGAGUAACACGUGGAUAACCUACCUAUAAGCCUGGAUAAAUUUCGGAAACCCGGACUAAUACCCGGUAAAUUAUUUGAACGCCAGGGUUCAUUGUGAAAAGCGGGUUUUCUUUUACUUUUAGGUUGAUCCGCGCCGCAUUAGCUAGUUGGUAAGGUAACGGCUUACCAAGGCAACGAUGCGUAGCCGACCUGAGAGGGUGAUCGGCCACACUGGAACUGAGACACGGUCCAGACUCCUACGGGAGGCAGCAGUAGGGAAUCUUCCGCAAUGGGCGAAAGCUUGACGGAGCAACGCCGCGUGAGUGAUGAAGGUCUUCGGAUCGUAAAACUCUGUUAUUAGGGAAGAACAAAUGUGUAAGUAACUAUGCACGUCUUGACGGUACCUAAUCAGAAAGCCACGGCUAACUACGUG